UUAACUAUUGUAUAGUACUCAGACGACAUAAAUAAUAGAGUUGAUAACCUUCGACGGUCACGCACCGGCCGAGACCAGUGGCCUCACACAAUGUGAGGCGGACCGCCAAAGCAACAAAGGUAAGGUAUGCAAGGGUGGAGGUCUACGCCGAAGGGCAUGAACUCUGUAAUGAUCCUUCCGCAGGUUCACCUACGGAAA
This 198-nucleotide unclassified non-coding RNA is filed under the name uncultured fungus. RNAcentral describes it as "sequence contains ITS1". Lineage: Eukaryota; Fungi. The record is from RNAcentral.